ACACUCCUGCGGGAGGCAGCAGUGGGGAAUAUUGGACAAUGGGCGCAAGCCUGAUCCAGCCAUGCCGCGUGAGUGAUGAAGGCCCUAGGGUUGUAAAGCUCUUUCACCGGUGAAGAUAAUGACGGUAACCGGAGAAGAAGCCCCGGCUAACUUCGUGCCAGCAGCCGCGGUAAUACGAAGGGGGCUAGCGUUGUUCGGAUUUACUGGGCGUAAAGCGCACGUAGGCGGACUAUUAAGUCAGGGGUGAAAUCCCGGGGCUCAACCCCGGAACUGCCUUUGAUACUGGUAGUCUUGAGUUCGAGAGAGGUGAGUGGAAUUCCGGGUGUAGAGGUGAAAUUCGUAGAUAUUCGGAGGAACACCAGUGGCGAAGGCGGCUCACUGGCUCGAUACUGACGCUGAGGUGCGAAAGCGUGGGGAACAAACAGGAUUAGAUACCCGAGUAGUCCCAUGAU
Molecule: ribosomal RNA, 452 nt
Filed under: uncultured organism
Description: partial 16S ribosomal RNA
Rfam family: Bacterial small subunit ribosomal RNA
Source: RNAcentral